UACGUAGGGUGCAAGCGUUGUCCGGAUUUAUUGGGCGUAAAGAGCUCGUAGGCGGUCUGUCGCGUCGGAUGUGAAAACCCAGGGCUCAACCCUGGGCCUGCAUUCGAUACGGGCAGACUAGAGUGUGGCAGGGGAGACUGGAAUUCCUGGUGUAGCGGUGAAAUGCGCAGAUAUCAGGAGGAACACCGGUGGCGAAGGCGGGUCUCUGGGCCAAUACUGACGCUGAGGAGCGAAAGCGUGGGGAGCGAACGGG
This 253-nucleotide ribosomal RNA is filed under the name uncultured bacterium. RNAcentral's name for it is "partial 16S ribosomal RNA". It matches the Rfam family "Bacterial small subunit ribosomal RNA", at positions 524 to 776 of the family's 1533-position model. The record is from RNAcentral.